This is a long non-coding RNA of Pristis pectinata (smalltooth sawfish), 197 nucleotides long. RefSeq lists it as uncharacterized. The transcript is spliced from 3 exons. The record is from RefSeq and is a predicted model, not a curated record. Lineage: Eukaryota; Metazoa; Chordata; Chondrichthyes; Rhinopristiformes; Pristidae.
CACACAUCCACACCUUAGAAAGUCUCUGCUCAGCUCCCAAGUUAAUUGAUAUUACCUGGAAGAGAAAGAUCUAUGAGACAUAGAGCAAGCAUGUGGAGGACAUCUGAUGGUGGUGAAUAUGAAGCUGUGUUGUCCAAUAAAGGCAUAUAAUUCAAUGGGCAAAACAAAACGAUGAACCUUUGUAACAGACCAUCCCC